GAAUAAUCCAUCUGUGGCCUAGCAUCUGCCUUAUGCAGAAAGGUCAGGAUUUCAAAUUCCAUUUCCAACACUCUUCCGCAGGGUAUCUCUUCAUUUGACUAAGAACAAUGGCAGAAGAUAUGCAGCAACUAGACCAUUAGAUGUUAAAUUCCAGGAUUAUCACUUGCUUAUAAAGAUUUUUGCUAGAAAUCAUUGACUUCUUAAUCACAUCAAAGAAAGCGAUAAAGGGAAAUGAAAAGGACGGACUGAAGGGGAAGAAAAAUAAUUCAAAGCAUACAAGAAUCCCAAUAAUUAAGUACAUAUGUGACAAGUUAAUUUUUUUCAGUUUCCAUAAACCUUUCUAAGUUGAGUGGUGACUGUAAAUGCAAAAAGAAAUUCCUCCCCAAACCCGAUUAACUGCUCUCAGUGGAGAAAGAAAUCACAACCUUGGCACCCAGAUAACCUAUAAGUAAAGUUGUGAUCAACUUACCAUGAAAAAUUGACAAAAUUUUAGCACACAUGUCAGAAGAAGAAAAAUUAAAAGGCUAUCAACUUGAAAGUUGAUGCAUCUUUAAUGGGACUUCAGGAGUCAUCAAUCAAAGAGUGCAACUCCCCACGGAAACUAGAAAUUUUGUCUGCCUCAACAGCCAUGACUAACCCCAUUAACCUGU
RNAcentral lists this unclassified non-coding RNA (650 nucleotides) under Hevea brasiliensis (rubber tree). The record is from RNAcentral. Lineage: Eukaryota; Viridiplantae; Streptophyta; Magnoliopsida; Malpighiales; Euphorbiaceae.